AUUUCAUGAACGAUCCAAAAAUUGAACACGACAGCAAAGUCGAGAUGAUACAAAUCAACUCCUAGUGGAGGAUUAUAGUUCUUUCUAUAUAAGCUACGAGUUUGAAAAUAUUCAAAGCAAGGUCAUAUCGUAGCGGUAGUGGUAUAUCUGAGAUUAUUCUAAGUUUCCUCUCAUCCAGUAGUUUCGGAAGAACAUCACUUCGUUCAAAAUGAAGCCAAUGAUUUUUACUGUUUGUAUCGUGCUGUGUGCAAUGCUGCUUACAGUCGAAGGUCGUAGUCGCCACAAGCGAUCUUCUAGUAGUUCGG
Strongylocentrotus purpuratus (purple sea urchin) is the source of this 305-nucleotide long non-coding RNA. RefSeq lists it as uncharacterized. The record is from RefSeq and is a predicted model, not a curated record. The transcript has 3 exons. NCBI's taxonomy places the organism in Eukaryota, Metazoa, Echinodermata, Echinoidea, Camarodonta, Strongylocentrotidae.